RNAcentral lists this ribosomal RNA (400 nucleotides) under uncultured archaeon. RNAcentral describes it as "bacterial SSU rRNA". It matches the Rfam family "Archaeal small subunit ribosomal RNA", at positions 1 to 406 of the family's 1478-position model. The record is from RNAcentral.
UUCCGGUUGAUCCUGCCGGAGGUCACUGCUAUUGGGAUUCGACUAAGCCAUGCGAGUCGAGAGGGUUCGGCCCUCGGCUGACGGCUCAGUAACACGUGGAUAAUCUACCCUAAGGUGGAGGAUAACCUCGGGAAACUGAGAAUAAUACUCCAUAGGUCUAGGAGGCUGGAAUGCACUUAGGCUGAAAACUUCGGUGCCUUAGGAUGAGUCUGCGGACUAUCAGGUUGUAGUCAGGGUAAAGACCUGACUAGCCUAUGACGGAUACGGGUUGUGAGAGCAAUAACCCGGAGAUGAUAUCUGAGACACGAUAUCAGGCCCUACGGGGCGCAGCAGGCGCGAAAACUUCGCACUGCGCGAAAGCGCGACGAGGGAAUCCCAAGUGUAUGCACGCAAGUGUAUA